AACGAACGCUGGCGGCAUGCCUAACACAUGCAAGUCGAACGAGACCUUCGGGUCUAGUGGCGCACGGGUGCGUAACGCGUGGGAACCUGCCUUUAGGUUCGGAAUAACUCAGAGAAAUUUGAGCUAAUACCGGAUGAUGUCUUCGGACCAAAGAUUUAUCGCCUUUAGAUGGGCCCGCGUAAGAUCAGCUGGUUGGUGGGGUAAAGCCUACCAAGGCGACGAUCCUUAGCUGGUCUGAGAGGAUGAUCAGCCACACUGGGACUGAGACACGGCCCAGACUCCUACGGGAGGCAGCAGUGGGGAAUAUUGGACAAUGGGCGAAAGCCUGAUCCAGCAAUGCCGCGUGAGUGAUGAAGGCCUUAGGGUUGUAAAGCUCUUUACCCGGGAUGAUAAUGACAGUACCGGGAGGAAUAAGCUCCGGCUAACUACGUGCCAGCAGCCGCGGUAAAGUGACUACUG
This 459-nucleotide ribosomal RNA is filed under the name uncultured bacterium. Its description in RNAcentral is "bacterial SSU rRNA". It matches the Rfam family "Bacterial small subunit ribosomal RNA", at positions 29 to 532 of the family's 1533-position model. The record is from RNAcentral.